UAUUGGAAGCUAUUCGAGCAAGUGAACGCUGGCCUGAAGAGUCUCUAAUAAUGAGGUACCCAUCUGGAGCUAAAGUGCAUCUCUGAACUUCUUAAUUCUUCAUUAAAGGGAUGUGUUCUGUAUUCAUGGGAUGUUUUAAACACUUCAAGACGAAUGUUUCAUCAGAAGCACUAAUGGUUGCUGGCAUGCCUUGGAUAAGGUGGUGACCACUGGAUGUAAUUUGUUUCUGUUUACUGCAGAGAGCCAAAACUGACUCCAUUUGGAGUUGAGAGAAAU
This 276-nucleotide long non-coding RNA is filed under the name Numida meleagris (helmeted guineafowl). RNAcentral describes it as "lncRNA (ENSNMEG00000018316.1)". Lineage: Eukaryota; Metazoa; Chordata; Aves; Galliformes; Numididae. The record is from RNAcentral.